RNAcentral lists this transfer RNA (62 nucleotides) under Sorineuchora shanensis. RNAcentral's name for it is "tRNA-Asp". Lineage: Eukaryota; Metazoa; Arthropoda; Insecta; Blattodea; Pseudophyllodromiidae. The record is from RNAcentral.
AAGAAAUUAGUUAAUUAAUAAUAUUAACUUGUCAAGUUAAAGUAACCUAAAGGUAUUUCUUU